Long non-coding RNA from Girardinichthys multiradiatus, 335 nucleotides. RefSeq lists it as uncharacterized. The record is from RefSeq and is a predicted model, not a curated record. Lineage: Eukaryota; Metazoa; Chordata; Actinopteri; Cyprinodontiformes; Goodeidae. The transcript is spliced from 2 exons.
GCGAAGUGAACAGAGGAGCAGAGCCUGCUGGUGGAGGAGAAGAGAGGAGUGUUAAAGCACCAGCCUGGAAUGUGAGCAGCUCUGGUUCCUGCUGCAUUCAGAAGCUAGAGAGGAGAUAGCAGCACCAGAGAACGUCUCCACAGAUGUUGAAGAUAACCAUUUAGGCUGCUGACAUCAUCAUGAACAAUACAGCAGAUUCACCUCAUUUACAUCUUCCUGCUCUGGAUAUAGAGCUCAGAUUAUUGGACUGUUGGAGACACUUUCUAUUUAUGUAUUUAUCUAUAUUUUCUUUGAAGCAUUUUACAGUCUGUAAAUAUUAAAAUAAUUCUAUACGA